This 253-nucleotide ribosomal RNA is filed under the name uncultured prokaryote. Its description in RNAcentral is "partial 16S ribosomal RNA". It matches the Rfam family "Bacterial small subunit ribosomal RNA", at positions 525 to 777 of the family's 1533-position model. The record is from RNAcentral.
ACGGAGGGUGCGAGCGUUGUCCGGAAUCACUGGGCGUAAAGGGCGCGUAGGCGGUUCGUUAAGUCGUUGGUGAAAUCCCGGGGCUCAACUCUGGAACUGCCUUUAAGACUGCAUCGCUUGAAUUGUGGAGAGGUAAGUGGAAUUCCGAGUGUAGAGGUGAAAUUCGUAGAUAUUCGGAAGAACACCAGUGGCGAAGGCGACUUACUGGACACAUAUUGACGCUGAGGUGCGAAAGCGUGGGGAGCAAACAGGA